Molecule: ribosomal RNA, 1390 nt
Filed under: Klebsiella aerogenes
Lineage: Bacteria; Pseudomonadati; Pseudomonadota; Gammaproteobacteria; Enterobacterales; Enterobacteriaceae
Description: Enterobacter aerogenes 16S ribosomal RNA
Rfam family: Bacterial small subunit ribosomal RNA
Source: RNAcentral
AGUCGAGCGGUAGCACAGAGAGCUUGCUCUCGGGUGACGAGCGGCGGACGGGUGAGUAAUGUCUGGGAAACUGCCUGAUGGAGGGGGAUAACUACUGGAAACGGUAGCUAAUACCGCAUAACGUCGCAAGACCAAAGUGGGGGACCUUCGGGCCUCAUGCCAUCAGAUGUGCCCAGAUGGGAUUAGCUAGUAGGUGGGGUAAUGGCUCACCUAGGCGACGAUCCCUAGCUGGUCUGAGAGGAUGACCAGCCACACUGGAACUGAGACACGGUCCAGACUCCUACGGGAGGCAGCAGUGGGGAAUAUUGCACAAUGGGCGCAAGCCUGAUGCAGCCAUGCCGCGUGUAUGAAGAAGGCCUUCGGGUUGUAAAGUACUUUCAGCGAGGAGGAAGGCGUUAAGGUUAAUAACCUUGGCGAUUGACGUUACUCGCAGAAGAAGCACCGGCUAACUCCGUGCCAGCAGCCGCGGUAAUACGGAGGGUGCAAGCGUUAAUCGGAAUUACUGGGCGUAAAGCGCACGCAGGCGGUCUGUCAAGUCGGAUGUGAAAUCCCCGGGCUCAACCUGGGAACUGCAUUCGAAACUGGCAGGCUAGAGUCUUGUAGAGGGGGGUAGAAUUCCAGGUGUAGCGGUGAAAUGCGUAGAGAUCUGGAGGAAUACCGGUGGCGAAGGCGGCCCCCUGGACAAAGACUGACGCUCAGGUGCGAAAGCGUGGGGAGCAAACAGGAUUAGAUACCCUGGUAGUCCACGCCGUAAACGAUGUCGACUUGGAGGUUGUGCCCUUGAGGCGUGGCUUCCGGAGCUAACGCGUUAAGUCGACCGCCUGGGGAGUACGGCCGCAAGGUUAAAACUCAAAUGAAUUGACGGGGGCCCGCACAAGCGGUGGAGCAUGUGGUUUAAUUCGAUGCAACGCGAAGAACCUUACCUACUCUUGACAUCCAGAGAACUUAGCAGAGAUGCUUUGGUGCCUUCGGGAACUCUGAGACAGGUGCUGCAUGGCUGUCGUCAGCUCGUGUUGUGAAAUGUUGGGUUAAGUCCCGCAACGAGCGCAACCCUUAUCCUUUGUUGCCAGCGGUCCGGCCGGGAACUCAAAGGAGACUGCCAGUGAUAAACUGGAGGAAGGUGGGGAUGACGUCAAGUCAUCAUGGCCCUUACGAGUAGGGCUACACACGUGCUACAAUGGCAUAUACAAAGAGAAGCGACCUCGCGAGAGCAAGCGGACCUCAUAAAGUAUGUCGUAGUCCGGAUUGGAGUCUGCAACUCGACUCCAUGAAGUCGGAAUCGCUAGUAAUCGUAGAUCAGAAUGCUACGGUGAAUACGUUCCCGGGCCUUGUACACACCGCCCGUCACACCAUGGGAGUGGGUUGCAAAAGAAGUAGGUAGCUUAACCUU